Molecule: ribosomal RNA, 2906 nt
Filed under: Escherichia coli
Lineage: Bacteria; Pseudomonadati; Pseudomonadota; Gammaproteobacteria; Enterobacterales; Enterobacteriaceae
Description: 23S ribosomal RNA
Rfam family: Bacterial large subunit ribosomal RNA
Source: RNAcentral
GGUUAAGCGACUAAGCGUACACGGUGGAUGCCCUGGCAGUCAGAGGCGAUGAAGGACGUGCUAAUCUGCGAUAAGCGUCGGUAAGGUGAUAUGAACCGUUAUAACCGGCGAUUUCCGAAUGGGGAAACCCAGUGUGUUUCGACACACUAUCAUUAACUGAAUCCAUAGGUUAAUGAGGCGAACCGGGGGAACUGAAACAUCUAAGUACCCCGAGGAAAAGAAAUCAACCGAGAUUCCCCCAGUAGCGGCGAGCGAACGGGGAGCAGCCCAGAGCCUGAAUCAGUGUGUGUGUUAGUGGAAGCGUCUGGAAAGGCGCGCGAUACAGGGUGACAGCCCCGUACACAAAAAUGCACAUGCUGUGAGCUCGAUGAGUAGGGCGGGACACGUGGUAUCCUGUCUGAAUAUGGGGGGACCAUCCUCCAAGGCUAAAUACUCCUGACUGACCGAUAGUGAACCAGUACCGUGAGGGAAAGGCGAAAAGAACCCCGGCGAGGGGAGUGAAAAAGAACCUGAAACCGUGUACGUACAAGCAGUGGGAGCACGCUUAGGCGUGUGACUGCGUACCUUUUGUAUAAUGGGUCAGCGACUUAUAUUCUGUAGCAAGGUUAACCGAAUAGGGGAGCCGAAGGGAAACCGAGUCUUAACUGGGCGUUAAGUUGCAGGGUAUAGACCCGAAACCCGGUGAUCUAGCCAUGGGCAGGUUGAAGGUUGGGUAACACUAACUGGAGGACCGAACCGACUAAUGUUGAAAAAUUAGCGGAUGACUUGUGGCUGGGGGUGAAAGGCCAAUCAAACCGGGAGAUAGCUGGUUCUCCCCGAAAGCUAUUUAGGUAGCGCCUCGUGAAUUCAUCUCCGGGGGUAGAGCACUGUUUCGGCAAGGGGGUCAUCCCGACUUACCAACCCGAUGCAAACUGCGAAUACCGGAGAAUGUUAUCACGGGAGACACACGGCGGGUGCUAACGUCCGUCGUGAAGAGGGAAACAACCCAGACCGCCAGCUAAGGUCCCAAAGUCAUGGUUAAGUGGGAAACGAUGUGGGAAGGCCCAGACAGCCAGGAUGUUGGCUUAGAAGCAGCCAUCAUUUAAAGAAAGCGUAAUAGCUCACUGGUCGAGUCGGCCUGCGCGGAAGAUGUAACGGGGCUAAACCAUGCACCGAAGCUGCGGCAGCGACGCUUAUGCGUUGUUGGGUAGGGGAGCGUUCUGUAAGCCUGUGAAGGUGUGCUGUGAGGCAUGCUGGAGGUAUCAGAAGUGCGAAUGCUGACAUAAGUAACGAUAAAGCGGGUGAAAAGCCCGCUCGCCGGAAGACCAAGGGUUCCUGUCCAACGUUAAUCGGGGCAGGGUGAGUCGACCCCUAAGGCGAGGCCGAAAGGCGUAGUCGAUGGGAAACAGGUUAAUAUUCCUGUACUUGGUGUUACUGCGAAGGGGGGACGGAGAAGGCUAUGUUGGCCGGGCGACGGUUGUCCCGGUUUAAGCGUGUAGGCUGGUUUUCCAGGCAAAUCCGGAAAAUCAAGGCUGAGGCGUGAUGACGAGGCACUACGGUGCUGAAGCAACAAAUGCCCUGCUUCCAGGAAAAGCCUCUAAGCAUCAGGUAACAUCAAAUCGUACCCCAAACCGACACAGGUGGUCAGGUAGAGAAUACCAAGGCGCUUGAGAGAACUCGGGUGAAGGAACUAGGCAAAAUGGUGCCGUAACUUCGGGAGAAGGCACGCUGAUAUGUAGGUGAAGUCCCUCGCGGAUGGAGCUGAAAUCAGUCGAAGAUACCAGCUGGCUGCAACUGUUUAUUAAAAACACAGCACUGUGCAAACACGAAAGUGGACGUAUACGGUGUGACGCCUGCCCGGUGCCGGAAGGUUAAUUGAUGGGGUUAGCGGUAACGCGAAGCUCUUGAUCGAAGCCCCGGUAAACGGCGGCCGUAACUAUAACGGUCCUAAGGUAGCGAAAUUCCUUGUCGGGUAAGUUCCGACCUGCACGAAUGGCGUAAUGAUGGCCAGGCUGUCUCCACCCGAGACUCAGUGAAAUUGAACUCGCUGUGAAGAUGCAGUGUACCCGCGGCAAGACGGAAAGACCCCGUGAACCUUUACUAUAGCUUGACACUGAACAUUGAGCCUUGAUGUGUAGGAUAGGUGGGAGGCUUAGAAGUGUGGACGCCAGUCUGCAUGGAGCCGACCUUGAAAUACCACCCUUUAAUGUUUGAUGUUCUAACGUUGACCCGUAAUCCGGGUUGCGGACAGUGUCUGGUGGGUAGUUUGACUGGGGCGGUCUCCUCCUAAAGAGUAACGGAGGAGCACGAAGGUUGGCUAAUCCUGGUCGGACAUCAGGAGGUUAGUGCAAUGGCAUAAGCCAGCUUGACUGCGAGCGUGACGGCGCGAGCAGGUGCGAAAGCAGGUCAUAGUGAUCCGGUGGUUCUGAAUGGAAGGGCCAUCGCUCAACGGAUAAAAGGUACUCCGGGGAUAACAGGCUGAUACCGCCCAAGAGUUCAUAUCGACGGCGGUGUUUGGCACCUCGAUGUCGGCUCAUCACAUCCUGGGGCUGAAGUAGGUCCCAAGGGUAUGGCUGUUCGCCAUUUAAAGUGGUACGCGAGCUGGGUUUAGAACGUCGUGAGACAGUUCGGUCCCUAUCUGCCGUGGGCGCUGGAGAACUGAGGGGGGCUGCUCCUAGUACGAGAGGACCGGAGUGGACGCAUCACUGGUGUUCGGGUUGUCAUGCCAAUGGCACUGCCCGGUAGCUAAAUGCGGAAGAGAUAAGUGCUGAAAGCAUCUAAGCACGAAACUUGCCCCGAGAUGAGUUCUCCCUGACUCCUUGAGAGUCCUGAAGGAACGUUGAAGACGACGACGUUGAUAGGCCGGGUGUGUAAGCGCAGCGAUGCGUUGAGCUAACCGGUACUAAUGAACCGUGAGGCUUAACCUC